Molecule: long non-coding RNA, 426 nt
Filed under: Ananas comosus (pineapple)
Lineage: Eukaryota; Viridiplantae; Streptophyta; Magnoliopsida; Poales; Bromeliaceae
Description: long non-coding RNA (ACOM_LNC028481)
Source: RNAcentral
GGAAGAAGAAGAAGAAGAAGAAGAAGAAGAAGAGGGAAAAAAAAAAGGAUGCUCCAACAGGAGGAAGAAGAAGAAGAAAAAGAAAAAGAGAAGAAAAAAUUGCUCUGCCUGACUUCGCUUUUUUUUUUCCGGCGGAAAAAAAAACGAGAGAACGAAGAGGAGAGAGAAAGAGGAAAGAGAAAAAGUAAUAAGGAUAUUUUGGUCAGUUUGCUGAAAAAACGGACCGAAUCUAUAAAAACGAAAAAGGUGGCUCGAUUUUGCAAGCCCAAAAUAAAUGGAUUUUUUAUGCAAAUUGGCCAAAAUUUUAUCACAUCUUUUUGAAAAUAGCUCUACUCAACAACACUUCUCGUAUUUCUUUCUUUUCUCAAGGUAAAUACAUCAGUAAUCUCACAGAAACUCUAAUUUGAAAAUUUUUAUUCAACUUAC